GAUGAAGAACGCAGCGAAAUGCGAUAAGUAGUGUGAAUUGCAGAAUUCAGUGAAUCAUCGAAUCUUUGAACGCACAUUGCGCCCUUUGGUAUUCCUUAGGGCAUGCCUGUUCGAGCGUCAUUUGAAACCUCAAGCUCAGCUUGGUGUUGGGUGUCUGUCCCCGCCUCACCGCGGGGACUCGCCUCAAAAUCAUUGGCGGCCGGUACGUUGGCUUCGAGCGCAGCAGAAACGCGAACUCGAGGCCCGGCGGAUCGGCGACCAGAAGUCACUUCUUCACAGUUUGACCUCGGAUCAGGUAGGGAUACCCGCUGAACUUAAGCAUAUCAAUAAGCGGAGG
Molecule: unclassified non-coding RNA, 337 nt
Filed under: soil metagenome
Description: partial contains 5.8S ribosomal RNA, internal transcribed spacer 2, and large subunit ribosomal RNA
Rfam family: 5.8S ribosomal RNA (bases 1-120)
Source: RNAcentral